UGGGGGAUCGUAUAGUGGCAAUACGACGGGUUCUGGCCCCGUUAACCGAGGUUCGAGUCCUCGUCCCCCAGCCA
RNAcentral lists this transfer RNA (74 nucleotides) under Deltaproteobacteria bacterium. RNAcentral describes it as "tRNA-Gln". It matches the Rfam family "tRNA". Rfam says of the family: Transfer RNA (tRNA) molecules are approximately 80 nucleotides in length. The record is from RNAcentral. Lineage: Bacteria; Pseudomonadati; Myxococcota; Myxococcia.